Molecule: non-coding RNA, 1230 nt
Organism: Megalopta genalis
Lineage: Eukaryota; Metazoa; Arthropoda; Insecta; Hymenoptera; Halictidae
Source: RefSeq, a predicted model, not a curated record
AUUCAACAUGUUAAAAUAGUCUAGGAAUCGAACUAGUCGUGUACUUAUCUUUUGAAGUGUACGUUUCGUAGUAGAUAACGAUACAGUAAAUUCUCGGCAAUUGUCUCUGAGCUUGUAAACAAAAAUGGACAAUUUGUGAAGAGAAGAUACGUUCGUUCGACGCUCGUUUUUAUAGUUGCCGAUUGUUGAGGUUAUGUCAGGUUAUUUGAUUAUAAUUUAAUAUAAUUAUAUGUAAUCGUAUGUCCUUUUCACAAAUUGUUCAUUUUUGUUUACAAGCUGAGAGACGAUUCGAGAGAAUUUACUGUACCACAAGUUGAUUGUUAUCUUAUAAAACAUACCUGUACGCUAUAUUAUUUAUCUUAACACUUUCUAAUCUAUCGGGAGAUAUGUGUCCCACCUAUGUAUUUCGCACGCUUAUUGAGAGAAAUGAAUACCGUUUUUCCACAAUACACGAAUAAACCAGGCUUAGAAUGCAUACCGCGCACAUGUUUCUUUCCAUGUGACCACAUAACCUCUCAGUUUGGUCGUGAAGUCGGGCCGACGCUAAUAAAAUCAACAUUUCUUGUUAGUAGCAUCUAGAUGUACGUAAAACUUACCACUUCAGAUGUAACAGAAAUUAACGAAAAUCUAAGUUCGAAUCUUUUGUCGCGUUGGAUAUCGAUAAUAUCACCUUGCGAAAUUAAGAAAAGGUUAUUAUAACUGAUCGAUAUCAACGCGUGAAAUUAGAAGCGACAUCGGAAGGAAGAUCUCGUCAAAUUUUAAUAUCGUAUGGUCAAUGCACGCUGUUACAACACCUCGAAAACCAUCACUGCGUCGAAACCGUUAUUUAAAACGAAUUUAUCCAUAAGAUGGAGCAAGCGUGCAGAAAACGACCAGGACCUGUUCUCAAACAUAGCAAACGUCAUGACGCUUAAUUUAUGUAAUAGGAUGAACGAUCGACGAAACGUUUAACCCUUGCAGGACCAUAAGAUUGCUAAGAGUAAAUAUGUAGUGGACACAUAUGUCCCGAUAGACUACAAAGGGUUAACAAUUAUCGAGCGGUAAGAGUGACUAGUGUUUGUCGCCCUUUAAAACUAACGAGAGGUUAUGUAUCGAAUAAUUAGAAAAGACAUCGUUGCUUCAAAUGUGAAAUCGUGGAAUCUGUUUAACGACUCUUCUAUAAUCGCAAGGGACCAGAUUGUCACCUGUUGCCCUACGUUUGUUGAUUAAAUCCACCGUAAUUUUGUGCAA